RNA transcript from Aegilops tauschii subsp. strangulata, 736 nucleotides. RefSeq lists it as uncharacterized. The record is from RefSeq and is a predicted model, not a curated record. NCBI's taxonomy places the organism in Eukaryota, Viridiplantae, Streptophyta, Magnoliopsida, Poales, Poaceae.
AUGGUGGAGGACUUCACAUUCCCUACCAUGCCACCGGUGCCGUGCGGCGCCAAGAAGCUCCCUUUCCCUCACUUCACUUCGCCGCCGCCAUGGUUCGUCGUCCCGGCCGACGCGGGAGCGCACGACCAUCACCGGCGGUGCUUCUCGGCCGCCGAGCAAGCCGGGAAAGCCAACAACGACGUCUACCCGGGGGGGGGGGGGGGGGGGGGGGGGGGGUGGGGGCGCUCCGAGAGGUUCGCCGUCAUGGAGGAGGCACAAGAUGGACAUGCUGUGGGAGGACUUCAACGAGGAGCUGGCCCGGGCGCCGCAGCCGUGCCCACUGAGCAUGGAGUGGUCGAGCGAGGCGUGGCACGCCGGUGAAGGCGACGGAAUACCAUCCCGGCAUGUGGAUGUGGUGGUCGCCCCCGGUACCGGGAGCAGCGUGGUCCGGCGAAGGAGGCUGGGCCUGAUGAUGAUGCUCAAGCUGCUCUUCUUGGCACGCAAGUCCAGCACCACCUCAAGGAAGACGCCACCAAACUGACAGCAGUUUGGAUGCGAGAAUUAUAUAGAUGCGUGCAUAAAUCAAUCCCAGGUGUAUAUAUAAUAUCGCAUUGUCGAUCGAUAAAUACAUCUUUCUGAAUCAAUCUUCUAGUUUCUCACUUGCUUAUUUUCCCUCGUUUGCGCGGCUCUUCAGAGCUUUGUGCUGCUCAAUUCUGGCUAUGGGUUCUGUUUGAAAUUAUCAUGGUUUGCAUGUUCA